RNAcentral lists this ribosomal RNA (328 nucleotides) under uncultured Actinomycetes bacterium. RNAcentral describes it as "bacterial SSU rRNA". It matches the Rfam family "Bacterial small subunit ribosomal RNA", at positions 28 to 351 of the family's 1533-position model. Lineage: Bacteria; Bacillati; Actinomycetota; Actinomycetes. The record is from RNAcentral.
GACGAACGCUGGCGGCGUGCUUAACACAUGCAAGUCGAGCGGAAAGGCCCCUUCGGGGGUACUCGAGCGGCGAACGGGUGAGUAACACGUGGGUAAUCUACCCCUGACAUCGGGAUACUCCGGGGAAACCCGGCCCAAUACCGAAUAAGGUGCGGAGACGUUGGUCGCCGUACCAAAGGUAGCUUCGGCCUCCGGUCAGGGAUGAGCCCGCGGCCCAUUAGCUUGUUGGUGAGGUAACGGCUCACCAAGGCUACGAUGGGUAGCUGGUCUGAGAGGACGAUCAGCCACACUGGGACUGAGACACGGCCCAGACUCCUACGGGUGGCUG